UUUGAAGGGCUACACGGUUGUAUAUGUGUGAGUGUUAGUCAGGCGACUCGGAUGUCAUUGGCUUAAUACCACAUACCAUUAUAACAUGUAUAGGGAUUAACUUUCUUCAGUCCUAGGUGUGAUCUAUUUACGUGGCACAUCACAACAAGCAGCAUGGACAUUGGUAUUCACCCCUGUCUUUUGAUUAUAAUCACAGUAUUUUGCUCGCACUGUGAAAGUCUAUGUAUUCCGAUAUGUCAAGGGAAUUUCGUUUGUUCUGGUAAUACUUGCGUCUGUGAUACUGGAUACUACGGUGUUAACUGUACAGACACCUGUGAAGAUAGUGGUGGAGCGAGCUGCCAAAAUGGAGGAACAUGUGGGUCUACAUCUCCGAAAUCUUGUUCCUGUGUAUCGGGCUAUACUGGAACCCUUUGUGAGACAGAAAGUAACGUAGUGAAUCCGCCGGUACGAAAACACCCAUGUAAUUGAAAUGCUCAACAACAACUACUACUACCGCCGCUUCCUCUACCAGUGUUCAAAUGUCGCCAAACAAUACCGGGACUAUUUCAAAGUGUUUUUUAAAUCCACUUAGUUCUUUCAUAAUGUUUGUGUUAUUGUACAAAAUACUUAUAUAUCAGACUCCUAAUUUUGUGUAAGAUGCAUACUCGGAAGUUAACUUAUCAGCAAUACUCUCGUUAUAUUCAAAUCAACGUUGUAUUAUUUAUUUUUUGAAUUUAUGUUAUUUCUAUAAAUCUAAAAUCAAGAAAUCGUAAUAUCGAAUACUGUUUAUUUUCUUUGUCUGCUUCAAUUUUAGAAGAUAUUGUUUGCUUAUUUAUAAACACGAAUACAUCGAUAUACAAUGUACCUGAAUUGUCAUUAUAUAUGUUUUCCUUAAUAGUAUCUUUGUAUUUUUCACUAUAUCUUUUUUUCGUUCUUCUGUAUAUGUUGGAUCAUUUUCAUGCCAUUUUUCUUGCAUACUAAUUGAAUGAUAUAUAAUGUAAAGACCAUAAUAAAGGAAUAACUUUUAGUUCACUAUUUUGAUUGAAAGAAAUCUAUUUACUCUUAAUGUACAUUUUGGCGGUAGAAUUAUGUAAGCGCACUUUGGAAUGAAAACAUAACGCUUAAUCAUGAUAACGGUAAUAGCGGUUUCUAUAUACAUGUAUAAUGGUUACGAUAGCGUUUUGAAUAAGCCAUCUCAUCGUGGAAAUCUGUAUGAGUUCGAUUAUGCGCGGAAAUUCGAGCGCUAAAAGAUAAAUAGAUCACAGUACCGCCAACUGCAUUAUCAAAACACAUUGCAAAUCAUCAUACUAUGUCAUGGAAAGACGUAAGUACAGAACAUGCGCAUCUUCAAAUAUUUAACAGAAACAGCAUGGAAACGCCAUUAAACCGACUAUAAUUGAACACAAUGUAUGGCACGUGAAAAAAGCUCAAUAUUAUUGUAUAUUUACAGAAGACAUUAACUUCUUAUGCAUUCAGCCAAUGAUCCUAAUCAAUAUUGUAAAAGCGAAAGUAAAGCUUUAGUUUAUUAUUCAAUUACUAAUUACCACCUACACAACUCCGCCUGUAUCGUCUCAACUACAGUCAGUGUUAAUUACUGGUAUACUACCUACAUGACCCCACCUAUUGCUAGGUUUCGUCACACCGACUAUUGUCAGUGUUCUGUCCCAGUAAGUUACUGGUAUUCGCCUACAUGACUCCGCCUUUUGCUAGGUUUCGUCUCACCGACUAUUCUCAGUGUUCUGUCGGAAUAAGUUACUGGUAUUCGUCACAUGACUCCGCCUUUCGCUAGACAAUAGUCAGUGGUCUAGCGGUUUUAGUUUCUGUAUGAGCUUUGACAAUAGAAUAUAUGUGCGUGAAGAUCAUAAUGAAAACUUGCAACUAUUGAGUUACAUUUAUAGUAUCCGGCCUACGUAUGGAAUAACUUGAUGAAAUUGUGUUUUGUGUAUUAAAAUCUCGUAUUUCAACUUUCA
Long non-coding RNA from Pecten maximus, 1949 nucleotides. RefSeq lists it as uncharacterized. The record is from RefSeq and is a predicted model, not a curated record. Lineage: Eukaryota; Metazoa; Mollusca; Bivalvia; Pectinida; Pectinidae. The transcript has 6 exons.